Molecule: unclassified non-coding RNA, 145 nt
Filed under: uncultured Hyaloscyphaceae
Lineage: Eukaryota; Fungi; Ascomycota; Leotiomycetes; Helotiales
Also listed under: 1 other name
Description: sequence contains ITS2
Source: RNAcentral
UAACCACUCAAGCCUAGCUUGGUGUUGGGGUACGCGGUCUCGCGACCCCUAAAGUCAGUGGCGGCGCCAUCUGGCUCUAAGCGUAGUAAUCUUACCCUCGCUAUAGAGUCUCGGUGGAUGCUUGCCAGAACCCCCUAAUCUUUAC